Hemicordylus capensis (graceful crag lizard) is the source of this 1225-nucleotide long non-coding RNA. RefSeq lists it as uncharacterized. The record is from RefSeq and is a predicted model, not a curated record. NCBI's taxonomy places the organism in Eukaryota, Metazoa, Chordata, Lepidosauria, Squamata, Cordylidae. The transcript has 3 exons.
GAGACGUGGAGGAGAGAUAAAAUGGAGGCAGGAGAAGAGAGAAGGAAGGGACGGGCCCGAGCCUGUCAUUGGUCUGAAGGGAACAACUGGCUAUGGUGGUGGCAGCAAGGAAGGGCCCAGUCAACCACUGCUGCUGUUUGGGGCUACUAAGGCCAUUUGGCGGAGGGAGGCAGGCAGGCAGGCAGGCAAGGGACAGGCCUGGGCCGAUCACUGGCAUGAGAUGAAUGAGCGGCCGUGGUGGCAGCAGCAAGGAAGGGCCCAGUCUACUGCUGCUCCUGUGGGGAAGAGCAGGAGUGGGGCUCAGGAGUUUAGUAGGAAGUGUGAGGUGGAGCCUGGAACAAGCCCCUGUGAUCACAAAGAGCCUGGUGGAGAAGAGAAGAGCACAAGCAAGCAGUGAUGGCCCAAAACAAUUGGCCAUUCACGGCAAGACUACCUGGGCCAGGACCUGACACCACCGCUCCUCUCUUCUCUUCUGCCUUGCCUAUCGCUUCCAAGGCAUGCUCUGCCUUUCUGUCUGCCACCACUGUUCCUGGACCAGGCAGAGACCAGCCCUCCCAGAGUUCUGUUAUCUUUGCCCCAAUGAGAAGACAGCAACAGCAAGGGACAGACCGGAGAACCAUUCAGUUGCUGCUACUAGAGUAGAAGUGGCUCUGCUGGACAGAGUGACUAGAGCAGCAGCAACUUCCAUCCGUCGCUGGCUAACCCUUCCAUCCAUUGCUGCUGAGGAGGCUAAGGGAAAAGAAUCAACUGAUUCUGCAACCUCAUACAUUAGUUCAUCAGUGAACUAAUCCCAUUAUCAAGAACGGAAACAAAACAAUGCACAUUAGAUCUGCACCACCAAAAAAUUAAAAAUGGUUUUACCAGAAGUCUUUUGUAGAUGCAAAGUAAUUUUCUGCAUCUUUUUAUACAUCUGAGUCAUUUCUUGCCACUUUAACCAUCAAUCAAAUGUGUGACAUGACAGAUCAAGCUAACUGUCAGUUGUGGAUCAGUACAACUGAAUGAUUAAUUAACACUUUUAAUUAAAGUCCUUUGCAGCAAUAUGGUUAAAUUAAACCUGAGGGAGAAAAUGGAAGCCUACCUGGGAAAUGUUAAAUCUUGCUAAGGUCAUCAAGUAAAUCCUUUUUUGCUUUACUUUUUUUUUCUUUAGCUAAUAAAUAACAAUGCAUACACAACAGGCACUGAUGGCUGUAAGAUGAUUGUGCAGGUAUGCAUUGAUAGAUGAUGG